UUCGAUGUUGGGAUCGUCAUUUGCCGGAUGAAGAGGAUAAAUUGAGACAUCUUCAUCCAUUGCCAUAUCUUCUUCACCGUUCAAGUUCAGAAACAGAGCGGGAUCUUCAGUUUCUUCAUUGUCGUUGGGUAUACCAUACACCAUCUCAAUCUCAAGAGCAACACGGUAGACAAGGAGGAGUUGUGGUUCGUUGAACAUUAACUCCAAAAUAUGGUGACUACACACGAUUGGAUGUCCCCCCACCAAGUCUUGCCAUAUAGUUAAAAAAAUAGGUUAUUGCUGAUACAAUUGAAUAUAUUAUUUCGGAAAAUUACAUAUUAUGGUAAAAUUAAACAUACCUCUUAUAGCUUGACGAUGUUGUUCUUCAGUUACUCCAUCUUCAAGGUAAGUGGUUUCAUCUAUUGUGAACGGUGAACGACAAUAGAACUGAUACUUGGGAACUUGUUCUGGCCCACUACUUACAUAGAGGACAGGCUCAUACAUGUAGUCACUCACAGUUGACAUAAUCUCAACAUCUUUAUCGCAUGACAAAGUGAUCGGAGGGGUUUUAGGGCCCUCAGGCUCAAGCAUCCACUCCGGGAGUUGAUAAGUCAAUGCCACCGGUGUAAGAAUUCCAAGGUCCACCAUUAUGCGAAUCCUCUCUACAACGCCUUCAAAAGAGUCGUUCCGGUUAAUUAUCAAGGAUUCUUCGUGACCAGAACCGGUUUCUUGAAAACUCCAAUCCCCGUUGGAGGAUUUACUCCAUAGGCCCAUAACAAGCCUAAACAGCCUUUCCAUCUGCAAGAUUUCAUUAACAUCAUGGUGUUAAAAGUUUUUGAAUAAAUUUCCCCGUAAAUUAAGAACAGUAUAAACAUGAAACUUAAAGCACCUUUAGAUCUAAUCAGCAGAAGUUACCGGGAGUUAUAAAGUAAACUGGAUUUUUUUUCCCUUCUUUGAUUCCACAUUUCUCUAGCUGGAACCGUGUUUAUAUAGCGAGAAACCGAUAUGAAGGUGUAGUUACUUACACAAAAACCAGCUCAGACGCAAGUUGGAUCUGCACCGGCUACCUACUACUAGACCUCAUCAUUCGGCC
RNAcentral lists this long non-coding RNA (1072 nucleotides) under Brassica rapa (field mustard). Its description in RNAcentral is "long non-coding RNA (BRAP_LNC003783)". Lineage: Eukaryota; Viridiplantae; Streptophyta; Magnoliopsida; Brassicales; Brassicaceae. The record is from RNAcentral.